Long non-coding RNA from Zophobas morio, 1273 nucleotides. RefSeq lists it as uncharacterized. The record is from RefSeq and is a predicted model, not a curated record. The transcript has 3 exons. NCBI's taxonomy places the organism in Eukaryota, Metazoa, Arthropoda, Insecta, Coleoptera, Tenebrionidae.
AUCGUCGGGGCAGAGAUAACAGAGAUGUGACAGCUUUUGAAUGCUCCAUAAGAAAUGCAUGGGAGCGAAGUGAACACAGAAUUUGACGUAAAGGACGGUUGGGGGCACAACAUUUGUGGUGGUAAACCUGAUAUCCUAACAUGUAUGUUAAAUGUUACUAAAUAUAUUACUAGUAAAAGUGACAUAACGAACGAAAACACGAACUCUGAGAUAACCUCAAUUAAAUAUGAUGCGAUGGUUUCAAAUUAUAAAAGAAAAGUCAUGUUAACUGCAUAUGUAUGUAUGUAUUUAUUACAGUUACAUACAUUUUAACAAACAAUAUACUAUUGGCUGCUUCUGUAGUUCCCUAUUAUGGAAUUUCAAUGUAUAAAAUAUACGUAAUCGCACAAAUAAUGACAAAAGGUAAUCAAGGGGGAGAUUACUACAUGGAUGCUAUUAAGGCCAGCUGAUUUUUAAGUUGUCUAGGAACUUGAAGCAAAAGUGUAUUAUGUUCAAAUGAACUACUGAAGGCAUUUUCUAAUUGUUCAAUGUAAUAUGCAAACUGUUCAUACGGAACAUUAAGAUUGCCAUAAGAUAAAGUUUCAGAAUAGUGGGCUUGGAAACGACAAUAAUGUAGUCUCUAGAAUUUCUGCCACAUGCAUUUGUAUAUUCACAGCAUAUCUGAGAAGAGUGUUUUAAGCAUGCAUCCACUGAGUAUCCACAUAUUUAUCGGCAUUAUGAGGUGGUUGGGAAUUAUUAAUUAUGGUGGUCUCACUUAAAUUGGAGAUAUCUUCAUUAGCAGAUAAGAAUUGUGGUGUGAUCAGAUGAUUAAAACAGGACUUGCGUUCGUGGUGUAUUUAUUUUUUAUGUUGUCGGUUCAGUAUAUAAGGGAAAAGUGUUAGAGUCUGUGAUUUUGAAAAUGAAAAAACAGGUCGGUAGAGAGCGGUGAAACGGUUGUGUCGAAAGGGUUCUUAGAAGGUACUCGAAAUCUUCGAAGGAUAAGAAUUAUUGGGAAGGGCGAACAAAAGAUAGGUUUUACGACAUGCAGGUGGACGAAGUGAGUGAAAGUUUCAGGGUGAUAGUGGUUGGAAGUCAAUAAAUACAGACUAUAUACAAAUAUUACAUGUUGCACAAUUUUGUGGGAUUUGUUAGCCCCCACAAAAUGUUGCUAAAUCAAAAGCACAAUUACCAGUUGGGUUGUGCUGCAUAUAUUUUAUACAGAACAAUAGCUUGUAUUUGCUUAUAUUUUAAUAAAGUGUGAUGCAAAUAACUAUUAAUAAUAUGAGGAUAAAAA